Long non-coding RNA from Scylla paramamosain (green mud crab), 487 nucleotides. RefSeq lists it as uncharacterized. The transcript is spliced from 3 exons. NCBI's taxonomy places the organism in Eukaryota, Metazoa, Arthropoda, Malacostraca, Decapoda, Portunidae. The record is from RefSeq and is a predicted model, not a curated record.
CGGAUAUAUCUAGCUAGCGGAUAUGAAAGCCUAGUCAUGUGGCUCCACUUAGUGACGUGUUAGGCUUACAAUAAGUGACAAAUGAAGCAGAUAUUGGCGGAUAAAUGGGGAAGGCUGCCUCCACCUCAGCUGGUAACAUUAGAUAGUAAUUGACGAACACAACACACCACGUGGAGAGAAGCAAGGUGUGGAGUACCCAAGCCUCUCACAGUCCAUGCUAGUAGACUCACCCUGCAUGUGGAGAUCUCCCAAAAUGCACGGAGGUUAUUCCAGAGCUGCAGGACAGAGUACUUGAGGCCAUUGGUGAACAGAAAGCUGAGGUUGAACAAAGCCAAGAAUUGAUAGCUGCCCAAGGUGUAAGCAAGAUUCACAAUGAUGAGGUCAUUGUGACGUGUGCAAUGUGUCCACUGGUCUUGGCCUUCCUGACCAAGGCAGCCACACAAAGGAAAUUCCACGUUAUUGUUGCCGAACGUGCCCCUAAAUAUGA